ACGGGUGAGUAACGCGUGGGAACGUACCCUUUUCUACGGAAUAGCCUCGGGAAACUGAGAGUAAUACCUUAUACGCCCUUCGGGGGAAAGAUUUAUCGGAGAAGGAUCGGCCCGCGUUGGAUUAGGUAGUUGGUGGGGUAAUGGCCUACCAAGCCGACGAUCCAUAGCUGGUUUGAGAGGAUGAUCAGCCACACUGGGACUGAGACACGGCCC
RNAcentral lists this ribosomal RNA (213 nucleotides) under Schmidingerella taraikaensis. Its description in RNAcentral is "partial Bacterial small subunit ribosomal RNA". It matches the Rfam family "Bacterial small subunit ribosomal RNA", at positions 102 to 332 of the family's 1533-position model. Lineage: Eukaryota; Ciliophora; Spirotrichea; Tintinnida; Rhabdonellidae. The record is from RNAcentral.